Molecule: ribosomal RNA, 370 nt
Filed under: uncultured bacterium
Lineage: Bacteria
Description: bacterial SSU rRNA
Rfam family: Bacterial small subunit ribosomal RNA
Source: RNAcentral
GACGAACGCUGGCGGCGUGCUUAACACAUGCAAGUCGAGCGGUAAGGCCCUUUCGGGGGUACACGAGCGGCGAACGGGUGAGUAACACGUGGGUGACCUGCCCUCAGCUCUGGGAUAAGCCUGGGAAACCGGGUCUAAUACUGGAUAUGACCCCAUGACGCAUGUUGUGGGGUGGAAAGCCUUGUGCGGCUGAGGAUGGGCCCGCGGCCUAUCAGCUUGUUGGUGGGGUGAUGGCCUACCAAGGCGACGACGGGUAGCCGGCCUGAGAGGGCGACCGGCCACACUGGGACUGAGACACGGCCCAGACUCCUACGGGAGGCAGCAGUGGGGAAUCUUGCGCAAUGGGCGAAAGCCUGACGCAGCGACGCCG